This 247-nucleotide long non-coding RNA is filed under the name Elaeis guineensis (African oil palm). RNAcentral describes it as "long non-coding RNA (EGUI_LNC020607)". Lineage: Eukaryota; Viridiplantae; Streptophyta; Magnoliopsida; Arecales; Arecaceae. The record is from RNAcentral.
AUACAUGAAGAUGGGAUGCUGAGGGCAUAUCUCAAAAUUGUGCUUGAGUCUGUUAAUAAAUCACCAGAAAUUCUUAAAACUUAGGGUCUUUCCAUGCAUAAUCAAAAUGAAACUGAGGAAUCUACUGUAGGAUGUGCAAUAAAUAGGUUACAACAAAGAUUAAAAUUUGAAGUGAAAAAUUUUAACUUCGAAGAUCAAGAAUAUUAUAAGUGUAUGUACCGAAGAAUUAACGAUGUUCAUGAAUAGC